AUUGAACGCUGGCGGCAGGCCUAACACAUGCAAGUCGAACGAGUGGCGGACGGGUGCGUAAUGUCUGGGAAACUGCCUGAUGGAGGGGGAUAACUACUGGAAACGGUAGCUAAUACCGCAUACCAUCAGAUGUGCCCCGAUGUGAUUAGCUAGUUGGUAGGGUACCGGCUCACCAAGGCGACGAUCCCUAGCUGGUAUGAGAGGAUGACCAGCAACACUGGAACUGAGACACGGUCCAGACUCCUACGGGAGGCAGUAGUGGGGAAUAUGGCACAAUGGGCGCAAGCCUGAUGCAGAUAUGCCGCGUGUAUGAAGAAGGCCUUCGGGUUGUAAAGUACUUUCAGCGGGGAGGCGUUACCCGCAGAAGAAGCACCGGCUAACUCCGUGCCAGCAGCCGCGGUAAUAC
This 406-nucleotide ribosomal RNA is filed under the name uncultured bacterium. Its description in RNAcentral is "partial 16S ribosomal RNA". It matches the Rfam family "Bacterial small subunit ribosomal RNA", at positions 30 to 526 of the family's 1533-position model. The record is from RNAcentral.